UUCACUUUGUAUUAGAUAUUUGAAAUGAAGCUGUAACAUUAGCCCAAAAGCAACUGGUUUCAAAUCUUUGUGGGGCACAUUAACACCGUGUCUCUCCACUCUGGUUAAGACCAAUUCAAAGUGGAUAUAGGGACUGGAGCUGGCGUGACCGAGACCAGUAGAACAUGUCGCAGGAAAUGACAGACAUUACAGGCCAGUGCAGUGAGCAUUAAACUACUCUUUUGAUCGGCCACCCCUACAUCUCUUCAUCGUAUGGGUUUUUGGCCUAACAGGAAGAUGGGGUGAAAUGAUCGUACGACAGGGCCGACUCCCCCCUCCGUUUUUUUUUUUUUGGUAUUAACCGGCAGUAGCUUCAACCUUGUACAUGCUCCAUUGCAUGGCUUGAGUGCAUCAAUAUGACACAUCAUAUUCAUCGAUCGACCAUCUGCUGACCCACCAACAUCUCACAACUGCUAUCUCCCAUUUCGUGAUAUGACUAAGAUCAAUUCUUGAUCUGAUAAUCAUUGGCAUUUUAAUAAUUCCAAUCAACAGUCAGG
Molecule: long non-coding RNA, 536 nt
Filed under: Gossypium barbadense (sea-island cotton)
Lineage: Eukaryota; Viridiplantae; Streptophyta; Magnoliopsida; Malvales; Malvaceae
Description: long non-coding RNA (GBAR_LNC017922)
Source: RNAcentral